This 21-nucleotide unclassified non-coding RNA is filed under the name Mus musculus (house mouse). RNAcentral's name for it is "oocyte_clustered_small_RNA10456". The record is from RNAcentral. Lineage: Eukaryota; Metazoa; Chordata; Mammalia; Rodentia; Muridae.
CAGCCAUCUGGCUGACUGCUC